Molecule: microRNA precursor, 118 nt
Filed under: Marmota monax (woodchuck)
Lineage: Eukaryota; Metazoa; Chordata; Mammalia; Rodentia; Sciuridae
Source: RNAcentral
CUCUCUCUCUCUCUCUCUCUCUCUCUCUCUCUCCAUAUAUAUAUGGAGAGAUAUAUAUAUAUAUGGAGAGAGAGAUAUAUAUAUGGAGAGAGAGAGAGAGAGAGAGAGAGAGAGAAAG